GAAUCUUGCGCAAUGGACGAAAGUCUGACGCAGCGACGCCGCGUGGGUGAUGAAGGCCUUCGGGUUGUAAAGCCCUGUGGGGAGGGACGAAUAAGUUGCGGCUAAUACCCGCAGCGAUGACGGUACCUCCUUAGCAAGCACCGGCUAACUCUGUGCCAGCAGCCGCGGUGAUACAGAGGGUGCAAGCGUUGUCCGGAAUCACUGGGCGUAAAGGGCGCGUAGGCGGCCUGAUAAGCAGGGGGUGAAAUCCUGUGGCUCAACCACAGGGCUGCCUUCUGAACUGUCAGGCUGGAGCACGGUAGAGGCAGAUGGAAUUCCCGGUGUAGCGGUGGAAUGCGUAGAGAUCGGGAAGAACACCAGUGGCGAAGGCGGUCUGCUGGGCCGUUGCUGACGCUGAGGCGCGACAGCGUGGGGAGCAAAC
Molecule: ribosomal RNA, 421 nt
Filed under: uncultured bacterium
Lineage: Bacteria
Description: bacterial SSU rRNA
Rfam family: Bacterial small subunit ribosomal RNA
Source: RNAcentral